AGAGUUUGAUCCUGGCUCAGGACGAACGCUGGCGGCAGGCCUAACACAUGCAAGUCGAACGGUAGCACAGAGAGCUUGCUCUCGGGUGACGAGUGGCGGACGGGUGAGUAAUGUCUGGGAAACUGCCUGAUGGAGGGGGAUAACUACUGGAAACGGUAGCUAAUACCGCAUAACGUCGCAAGACCAAAGAGGGGGACCUUCGGGCCUCUUGCCAUCAGAUGUGCCCAGAUGGGAUUAGCUAGUAGGUGGGGUAACGGCUCACCUAGGCGACGAUCCCUAGCUGGUCUGAGAGGAUGACCAGCCACACUGGAACUGAGACACGGUCCAGACUCCUACGGGAGGCAGCAGUGGGGAAUAUUGCACAAUGGGCGCAAGCCUGAUGCAGCCAUGCCGCGUGUAUGAAGAAGGCCUUCGGGUUGUAAAGUACUUUCAGCGGGGAGGAAGGUGUUGUGGUUAAUAACCACAGCAAUUGACGUUACCCGCAGAAGAAGCACCGGCUAACUCCGUGCCAGCAGCCGCGGUAAUACGGAGGGUGCAAGCGUUAAUCGGAAUUACUGGGCGUAAAGCGCAC
Molecule: ribosomal RNA, 571 nt
Filed under: uncultured Enterobacter sp.
Lineage: Bacteria; Pseudomonadati; Pseudomonadota; Gammaproteobacteria; Enterobacterales; Enterobacteriaceae
Description: bacterial SSU rRNA
Rfam family: Bacterial small subunit ribosomal RNA
Source: RNAcentral